Molecule: ribosomal RNA, 497 nt
Filed under: uncultured bacterium
Lineage: Bacteria
Description: partial 16S ribosomal RNA
Rfam family: Bacterial small subunit ribosomal RNA
Source: RNAcentral
GACGAACGCUGGCGGCGUGCCUAAUACAUGCAAGUUGAGCGCUGAAGGUUUGUACUUGUGCCAACUGGAUGAGCAGCGAACGGGUGAGUAACGCGUGGGGAAUCUUCCUUUGAGCGGGGGACAACAUUGGGAAACGAAUGCUAAUACCGCAUAAAAACUUUAAACACAAGUUUUAAGUUUGAAAGAUGCAAUUGCAUCACUCAAAGAUGAUCCCGCGUUGUAUUAGCUAGUUGGUGAGGUAAAGGCUCACCAAGGCGAUGAUACAUAGCCGACCUGAGAGGGUGGUCGGCCAAAAUGGGACUGGGACACGGCCCAAACUCCCUCGGGGAGCAGCAGUAGGGGAUCAUCGGACAUGGGCGAAAAUCUGGCCGAGCAACGACGGGUGAGUUAAAAAAGUUUUCCGGUCGUAAAACUCUGUUUGUAGGGAAGAACGUUGGUGAGGGUAGAAAGCUCAUGAAGUGACGGUAACUAACCAGAAAGCGACGGCUAACUACGUG